Molecule: ribosomal RNA, 253 nt
Filed under: uncultured bacterium
Lineage: Bacteria
Description: partial 16S ribosomal RNA
Rfam family: Bacterial small subunit ribosomal RNA
Source: RNAcentral
UACGUAGGGUGCAAGCGUUAAUCGGAAUUACUGGGCGUAAAGCGCACGUAGGCGGCUUUGUAAGUUAGAGGUGAAAGCCCGGGGCUCAACUCCGGAACUGCCUUUAAGACUGCAUCGCUUGAAUCAUGGAGAGGUCAGUGGAAUUCCGAGUGUAGAGGUGAAAUUCGUAGAUAUUCGGAAGAACACCAGUGGCGAAGGCGACUGACUGGACAUGUAUUGACGCUGAGGUGCGAAAGCGUGGGGAGCAAACAGG